Molecule: ribosomal RNA, 1463 nt
Filed under: uncultured Bordetella sp.
Lineage: Bacteria; Pseudomonadati; Pseudomonadota; Betaproteobacteria; Burkholderiales; Alcaligenaceae
Description: partial 16S-23S ribosomal RNA intergenic spacer
Rfam family: Bacterial small subunit ribosomal RNA
Source: RNAcentral
GGUUUGAUCCUGGCUCAGAUUGAACGCUGGCAGGAUGCUUUACACGCUUUAUGCAAGUCGGAACAGCAGCACGGACUUCGGUCUGGUGGCGAGUGGCGAACGGGUGAGUAAUGUAUCAGGAACGUGCCCAAAAUGGCGGGGGAUAGCGCUACGCGAAAGCGUAGCUAAUACCACUAUACGCCCUUCGGGGAAAGCGGGGGACCUUCGAAGACUCGCACUAUUGAAACGGCCGAUAUCGGAUUAGCUAGUUGUUGGGAGUAACGGCUCACCAAGGCGACGAUCCGUAGCUGGUUUGAGAGGACGACCAGCCACACUGGGACUGAGACGUAGCCCAGACUCCUACGGAGAGGCAGCAGUGAAAUUUUGGACAAUGGAAACCUGAUCCAGCCAUCCCGCGUGUGCGAUGAAGGCCUUCGGGUUUGUAAAGCACUUUUGGCAGGAAAAAGAGCGGCACGGGAUAAUACCCCGUGCAGCUGGUGGCUGCAGAAUAAGCACCGGCUAACUACGUGCCAGCAGCCGCGGUAAUACGUAAGUGCAAGCGUUAAUCAAGAUUACUGGGCGUAAAGCGUGCGCAGGCGGUUCGGAAAAGAAAGAUGUGAAAUCCAAGAGCUUAACUUUGUUUCAUUUUUAACUACCGAGCUGUAGAGUGUGUCAGGGAGGUGGGAAUUCCGCGAUGUAGCAGUGAAAUGCGUAGAUAUGCGGGAGGAACACCGAUAGCGAAACAGCCUCCUGGGAUAACUGACGCUCAUGCACAGCGUGGGGAGCAAACAGGAUUAGAUACUACAAUGCAGUCCACGCCCUAAACGAUGUCAACUAGCUGUUGAGGCCUUCGAGGCCUUGGUAAUACAGCUAACGCGUGUUGACCGCCUGGGAAGUACGGUCGCAGUUAAAACUCAAAGGAAUUGACGGGGACCCGCACAAGCGGUGGAUGAUGUGGAUUAUUCGAUGCAACGCGAAAAACAUACCUACCCUUGACAUGUCUGGAAUCGAAGAGAUUUGGGAGUGCUCGCAAGAGAGCCGGAACACAGGUGCUGCAUGGCUGUCGUCAGCUCGUGUCGUGAGAUGGUAUGGUUAAGUCCACGCAACGAGCGCAGCCUUGUCAUUGGUGCGCUGAAAAGGGCGUCUAAUGAGACUGCCGGUGACAAACCGGAGGAAGGUGGGGAUGACGUCAAGUCCUCAUGGCCUGGCCCUUAUGGUGGGCUACGUCAUACAAUGGUCAGGACAAGGGUCGCCAACCCGCGAGAGGCCAAUCCCAGAAACCCGAUCGUAGUCCGGAUCAUGAUGUGGCUCGGCUAAGUCGAGAAUCGCUGGUAAUCGAGGAUCAGCAUGUCGCGGUGAAUACGUUCAGGUCUUGUACACCGCCCGUCUUCAUGGGAGUGGGUUUGCCAGUAGUUAGCCUAACCUUAAGGAGGGCGAUUACCACGGUAGGAUUCGCUGACUGGGGUGAAGUCGUAACAAGGUAG